This 73-nucleotide transfer RNA is filed under the name Planctomycetota bacterium. RNAcentral describes it as "tRNA-Lys". It matches the Rfam family "tRNA". From Rfam's summary of the family: Transfer RNA (tRNA) molecules are approximately 80 nucleotides in length. Their secondary structure includes four short double-helical elements and three loops (D, anti-codon, and T loops). Further hydrogen bonds mediate the characteristic L-shaped molecular structure. tRNAs have two regions of fundamental functional importance: the anti-codon, which is responsible for specific mRNA codon recognition, and the 3' end, to which the tRNAs corresponding amino acid is attached (by aminoacyl-tRNA synthetases). tRNAs cope with the degeneracy of the genetic code in two manners: having more than one tRNA (with a specific anti-codon) for a particular amino acid; and 'wobble' base-pairing, i.e. permitting non-standard base-pairing at the 3rd anti-codon position. RNAcentral also lists the same sequence under 1 other name. The record is from RNAcentral. Lineage: Bacteria; Pseudomonadati; Planctomycetota.
GGGCGAUUAGCUCAGUUGGCAGAGCAGCUGACUCUUAAUCAGCGGGUCGCAGGUUCGAAUCCUGUAUCGCCCA